AUCAGUUUAGGUCACAAAUAUUGGCCCUGCGAUGAGGUUGCGACUUGUCCAGGGUGUACACUGCCUUCCGCCCGAUUGUAGCUGAGAUAGGCACCAGCGCCCCCCGCGACCCCAAAGGGAAUAAGCGGAUGGCAUCUCCCGGAUGUACUUCGGCGUGGAGGGGCUCUUGGUAAAGAUGGAACAUUUGGCAAAAAUACGGGACAAUUCUGCAAAUUUCAUGGCUGGCUUACAGCGUGGUCACUCCGGGAUAACUUACGACCGACAGACAAUUCUGGAUGUGGAUAGAUCGGGCCGUUUUGGACUGAAUGACGGGUGCUUGCUAGACCGGCUAGCUAGCAUGGGAAUACUUUGCCGGCUACAUCCAGCGGCCUGUAAAGCAGCGGAGUAUAUGUGUUGUCUGUCUAUUUAUGAAUAAAUCAGACGAGGAGUGUUG
Nerophis ophidion (straightnose pipefish) is the source of this 433-nucleotide long non-coding RNA. RefSeq lists it as uncharacterized. The record is from RefSeq and is a predicted model, not a curated record. The transcript is spliced from 2 exons. Lineage: Eukaryota; Metazoa; Chordata; Actinopteri; Syngnathiformes; Syngnathidae.